This is a long non-coding RNA of Loxodonta africana (African savanna elephant), 773 nucleotides long. RefSeq lists it as uncharacterized. NCBI's taxonomy places the organism in Eukaryota, Metazoa, Chordata, Mammalia, Proboscidea, Elephantidae. The transcript has 3 exons. The record is from RefSeq and is a predicted model, not a curated record.
UAAACUUUUAUUUUGAGCUUGAACCAUUAUCUGUGUUUGGGUCUAUUUCUUCAGCACUUAGCCAACUUUAACAAAUACACUCGAGGAGUGCCUUAGUAAUUGAAGUCGUGGGUCUGUUGGCCUAAUGCAUUCAUUCCUUUUUUUGUCUCUGGCAGUUGGUGAUUGAUUGAUCGUGGUCCAGCAUGCAGAAGCGAGUGAGUGGUGAAAAGCACCAGAGCUGAUGGAUUGUGAAGAUGUAUUUGAAGGCUGUCACACUGUCUACUUCAGGGUUUAUCCUUGGAGUUCAUUGAGCUUCUUGCAUGCAUAGAUUCAUGACUUUCAUCAAAUUUGGUUAUGCUCAGCUAUUGUUCUGACUGAGACUUCCAUGAACACUAGGAGUUGAAAAGAAAAAGAAAAAAAAUGAAAGAAAACAGGAAAAAGAAGCAAAGAAAAGGUAAGCAAUGAGAGGAAAAGUCCUCUGUGGUCUUUGCAGAUUGGGUCUGUCCUGCAACACUCCGUCAAUACUUAGGAAGGUUUACGCUGACCUAGAGAUCAACCCCAAGUGAACGUUAAAGGUGUUCUCAGGUCUUUUCUGGGUGAGCAUCUUAACCUAGGCGUUCGUAUGUCUUUUUAAAUUCCUCAGUAUACCUGGGUGUUUCUGAAUGCCCCAGCUUCCCAAAGAAGCUCUCUUUUUGGCCCCUGACCUUACCCCACAGCUUUCGAAUGUGUGUCUGAAUCUUCCUCUCUUAGCCCAGGACUUUCAGUGAGCCCGCUACUCCUCCACCUGUACUACG